RNAcentral lists this ribosomal RNA (253 nucleotides) under uncultured bacterium. Its description in RNAcentral is "partial 16S ribosomal RNA". It matches the Rfam family "Bacterial small subunit ribosomal RNA", at positions 524 to 776 of the family's 1533-position model. The record is from RNAcentral.
GACAGAGGGUGCAAGCGUUGUUCGGAAUUACUGGGCGUAAAGCGCGCGUAGGCGGCUUUUCAAGUCGGAUGUGAAAGCCCAUGGCCUAACCAUGGAAGUGCAUUCGAUACUGUGAGGCUUGAGUCCCGGAGAGGGUGGUGGAAUUCCCAGUGUAGAGGUGAAAUUCGUAGAUAUUGGGAGGAACACCGGUGGCGAAGGCGACCACCUGGACGGAGACUGACGCUGAGGUGCGAAAGCGUGGGUAGCAAACAGG